Molecule: long non-coding RNA, 1672 nt
Filed under: Sus scrofa (pig)
Lineage: Eukaryota; Metazoa; Chordata; Mammalia; Artiodactyla; Suidae
Description: lncRNA (ENSSSCG00025063686.1, ENSSSCG00035053281.1, ENSSSCG00055023087.1)
Source: RNAcentral
UUCAAGUUAUACAUAGGACUAAAAGAGCACAUGGCUUACCUAGGAGGUAAAGAUGAGAACAGCUUCUGCUUGCUGGGCACCGCCUUGAAAAGAAAUACUUUUGAUCGGCUUGGUGAGUAUUGACCUUCGGAUUACAUCAUUCGUGACUUUUUUUUUUUUUAAAUGUUAAACCUCUAUUGGAAAAAUACAUAUGUUGCUUUUAAAAUGGAAGCUUUCGACAGCAUUUAGAACCAUCCAUAUGUUAUCGGUUUAGGCCAAAUGAACCAGCCAAUUUGAGAUCUGAGUGUUGGAAAGCUUAGGUGUAUAGUCACUCGAAAUGUCUGUCGCAUCACAGCUUGUAGAAGUUAUUUCCAAACGUCCCUUCACUUACAUGAUGCUUCUCCGAGAAGAGGUCCUGUUCUCCUAACUGGGGCCAGCCAUCCUUUCCUGAUGCUCCUGUGUGUUAUGCCUGCCUCAGAAGCAUCAUGUUCCCUCUGUACUGACUGCAUCUUUUUUUAAAAAAAAAAGUUAAAAAAAGAUUUAUAUUGGAGUAUAGUCGGCCUGCCGUGUUGUGUUAGUUUCAGGUGGACAGCAAAGUGAUUCGGUUAUACACACACAAAUAUCCAUGCUUUUUCAGAUUCGUUUCCCAUAUAGGUUAUGACUGGAUAUUGAGUCAUGUUUGCUGUGCUAUGCAGUAGGUCCCCGCUGAUUAUCUCUUGUAUAUAUGGUCGUGUGCGUAUGUGAAUCCCAAACACCGAAUUUAUCCCUCCCCAACCCCCAACUGCAUCCUUUUUGGCGUCCUUCGGUUCCCAAGUACCUGGGCCCCCUCCUGGAGGGCACAGGACCUGCGGGUUCAGGGCCACGUGGAGGACCCCACCCGGCAGCUCUGAUGUCCUGUCUUGGAGAGUUGCACUGAGCGGGUCACUUCCAACCUGCCAUCAGGGUAGAGAAGGCUUGCUGGGAUGGGUGAUGGACUGGUUUCUCUGGGAAGAAACGCCAAAAAUGAUAUGGAUGGUACAGAGCUCUACUUGGGCUCUGUGCUUGAAGUCCAAGAAGAACAGGAGAAGUUUUCUCAUGCUCUUUCUGGAGUCCUCGUCAUUUCCUGGGAACCUCCAUAUGCCAAGGGAGCGGCCCUAGGAAAGGCAAACAAAGACAAAAAAAAAAAGUUGUCUAUGACAGCUUUAUUCUCACCGAGAAUAAAGGCACGCAGCCUUCCCAUCGGAGUGCCCUCUUGAGAGGCUGCAUGCAUGUCUGCGCGAUUGUUUUCAUAAACUCAGAAUUUAGCUGCCAGCACUCAGGGCUCCCAUCGUGUGUAACCCGGUCUCUGCCCAGGAUCCGCCACGUUGUUCUCUCUCCCACUUGUCAAUAAAAGCCAAAGAUUUCUCUCACAGAAGCUCCGCAGUAAUUCCUGGGUCUGCAAGUCAUGUGCCCAAGGAAACUUUUUAAGUGGGGAAAAGGGUAGAAAUCCAGUUCAAACUCUUACGAGUUUUGGCGGAGGAGUCUAUGGACGAACAAAAGCUCCCUGGCAUCUUCUGGCAGACAUGUGAGAGAAGGCAGUGAUUGGAAUUAAUUUUUAGUGAGGGCUGCAUAUUUGAUAAUUGGUCUGAUUCACGCUAUUAUAUUCCUCUUCCUUCACCCACAGCAAAACAAGCUUAAUUUGAUUCAUCCCCUUAGGAAGAAAAAAAAAAAAAAA